Seriola aureovittata is the source of this 656-nucleotide long non-coding RNA. RefSeq lists it as uncharacterized. The transcript has 2 exons. The record is from RefSeq and is a predicted model, not a curated record. NCBI's taxonomy places the organism in Eukaryota, Metazoa, Chordata, Actinopteri, Carangiformes, Carangidae.
CCAAACCCUCAGCUUCCUGCAUCGGUGAGAUGAAGCCAAAAGAAAAAACAGAUUCCACUACAAGAGGACAAGAAGUCUUUUCAGAAAAAGACACAAUGAUGCUGACGCCUGCAUGCUGUGGAGGAUCUUCAGUGCAUCAUUGUGUUAAUUACGUGGAUUCUUCGGCCAGACAUGAGCCUUUGUCUCUCUCUGUGCAAUUAGGCAACUGCAUGAAAAUGUUCUCUUCUCCAUGAAUGAACUUCAAGUGUAACUGAAUACAGUUUUAAACACGGUUCAUAAAUAGAAUUAGUCCGUCACUAACCUUUUUUCAUAAAGACGGUAGAUUUGAAAAUGAGUUUUGAGACCUCAAAAGGUAUUUCGUUAGAUACACUUGUAUUAAGUCUUAUUUAUUUUUGAAACCUUUUUUUGAGAACUCUUUCUGAAAAAUGAAUAAAACUCUGGAUGGAUUUUGUUUGAAAUGUAAUCCUAAUCAUUGAAUAUUUUGUCAUUCUAGAUGAUUAUUUAUGUAAAUUGGUAAUCAGAUGGUGUGUUGAAGGCCUUGAAAGGUUGUUGUUUUUGUGGAUAAUGUAUUCAUAUGACUAUGGUAUUUCAUAGUGUCAGAGAUAAAGGAAAGACAUGUUUUUGUUCUUUAUUCAAUAAAAUAAUUAUUCCAGAAA